Molecule: ribosomal RNA, 467 nt
Filed under: uncultured bacterium
Lineage: Bacteria
Description: partial 16S ribosomal RNA
Rfam family: Bacterial small subunit ribosomal RNA
Source: RNAcentral
GACGAACGCUGGCGGCGUGCUUAACACAUGCAAGUCGAACGGAAAGGCCUCUUUCGGGGGGUACUCGAGUGGCGAACGGGUGAGUAACACGUGAGUAACCUGCCCUUGACUUUGGGAUAACUUCAGGAAACUGGGGCUAAUACCGGAUAGGAGCUCCUGCCGCAUGGUGGGGGUUGGAAAGUUUCGGCGGUUGGGGAUGGACUCGCGGCUUAUCAGCUUGUUGGUGGGGUAGUGGCUUACCAAGGCUUUGACGGGUAGCCGGCCUGAGAGGGUGACCGGCCACAUUGGGACUGAGAUACGGCCCAGACUCCUACGGGAGGCAGCAGUGGGGAAUAUUGCACAAUGGGUGGAAGCCUGAUGCAGCAACGCCGUGUGCGGGAUGACGGCCUUCGGGUUGUAAACCGCUUUCGCUCAUGACGAAGCUUUGUGUGACGGUAGUGGGUAAAGAAGCACCGGCUAACUACGUG